Molecule: ribosomal RNA, 927 nt
Filed under: uncultured Bacteroidota bacterium
Lineage: Bacteria; Pseudomonadati; Bacteroidota
Description: bacterial SSU rRNA
Rfam family: Bacterial small subunit ribosomal RNA
Source: RNAcentral
UGGAUCCAGACUUUGAUUCUGGCUCAGGAUGAACGCUAGCUACAGGCUUAACACAUGCAAGUCGAGGGGCAGCGGUAUCGAAAGCUUGCUUUUGAUAGCCGGCGACCGGCGCACGGGUGAGUAACGCGUAUCGAACCUGCCUCAUACUCGGGAAUAGCCUUGCGAAAGUAAGAUUAAUGCCCGGUGUUUUCAGAGUCCCGCAUGAGGCUUUGAACAAAGAUUUAUCGGUAUGAGAUGGCGAUGCGUCCCAUUAGCUUGUUGGCGGGGUAACGGCCCACCAAGGCAUCGAUGGGUAGGGGUUCUGAGAGGAAGGUCCCCCACAUUGGAACUGAGACACGGUCCAAACUCCUACGGGAGGCAGCAGUGAGGAAUAUUGGUCAAUGGGCGGAAGCCUGAACCAGCCAAGUAGCGUGCAGGAAGACGGCCCUCCGGGUUGUGAACUGCUUUUAGUUGGGAAUAAAACGGGGCUCGUGAGCCCCCUUGCAUGUACCAUCAGAAAAAGGACCGGCUAAUUCCGUGCCAGCAGCCGCGGUAAUACGGAAGGUCCGGGCGUUAUCCGGAUUUAUUGGGUUUAAAGGGAGCGCAGGCGGACCUUUAAGUCAGCUGUGAAAUACGGCGGCUCAACCGUCGAACUGCAGUUGAUACUGGAGGUCUUGAGUGCACACAGGGAUGCUGGAAUUCAUGGUGUAGCGGUGAAAUGCUCAGAUAUCAUGAAGAACUCCGAUCGCGAAGGCAGGCAUCCGGGGUGCAACUGACGCUGAGGCUCGAAAGUGCGGGUAUCAAACAGGAUUAGAUACCCUGGUAGUCCGCACAGUAAACGAUGAAUACUCGCGGUUUGCGAUAUAGUGUAAGCCGCCAAAGCGAAAGCGUUAAGUAUUCCACCUGGGGAGUACGCCGGCAACGGUGCAACUCAAAGGAAUUGACGGA